Molecule: ribosomal RNA, 253 nt
Filed under: uncultured bacterium
Lineage: Bacteria
Description: partial 16S ribosomal RNA
Rfam family: Bacterial small subunit ribosomal RNA
Source: RNAcentral
UACGGGGGGGGCAAGCGUUGUUCGGAAUUACUGGGCGUAAAGGGCUCGUAGGUGGCCAACUAAGUCAGACGUGAAAUCCCUCAGCUUAACUGGGGAACUGCGUCUGAUACUGGAUGGCUUGGAUUUGGGAGAGGAAUGCGGAAUUCCAGGUGUAGCGGUGAAAUGCGUAGAUAUCUGGAGGAACACCGGUGGCGAAGGCGGCAUCCUGGACCGGCAUUGACGCUGAGGCGCGAAAGCCAGGGGAGCAAACGGG